GAAAGUUGCUGUAAAAGUCACCCAAAAAAUUGAAAAAUCUGCCCAAAUUUUUGCCUUUUCGGGUAACCAAAUUUGUGGGUUUAUUCCGGCCAAAUCCUUUGGAUUUUUGGGGAGAUUUUUGGUGUUAAUUGAAAAGGACAUUGUAAGCUUUCCAAUGGUAUCAAAUUCCGGCGUGUUGGUGGUCGGAAGUCGUCGGGAAAUUGCCCAAAAAAUCUGAAAAUCUAGGCAGAUUUUCAGAUUUUUGGGCGACUUUUGCGGUAAUUUUC
RNAcentral lists this microRNA precursor (266 nucleotides) under Olea europaea subsp. europaea. Lineage: Eukaryota; Viridiplantae; Streptophyta; Magnoliopsida; Lamiales; Oleaceae. The record is from RNAcentral.